Molecule: ribosomal RNA, 119 nt
Filed under: Pteropus alecto (black flying fox)
Lineage: Eukaryota; Metazoa; Chordata; Mammalia; Chiroptera; Pteropodidae
Source: RNAcentral
GUCUACAGCCAUGCUACCCUGAACAAGCCUGAUCCCGUCUGAUCUCGGAAGAUAAGCAGGGUCGGGCCUGGUUAGUACUUGGAUGGGAAACCACCUAGGAAGACCAGAUGCUGUAGGUG